Molecule: ribosomal RNA, 385 nt
Filed under: uncultured bacterium
Lineage: Bacteria
Description: bacterial SSU rRNA
Rfam family: Bacterial small subunit ribosomal RNA
Source: RNAcentral
GACGAACGCUGGCGGCGUGCUUAACACAUGCAAGUCGAGCGGUAAGGCCCUUUCGGGGGUACACGAGCGGCGAACGGGUGAGUAACACGUGGGUGACCUGCCCUCAGCUCUGGGAUAAGCCCGGGAAACUGGGUCUAAUACCGGAUAUGACUCCAUGACGCAUGUUGUGGGGUGGAAAGCCUUGUGCGGCUGAGGAUGGGCCCGCGGCCUAUCAGCUUGUUGGUGGGGUGAUGGCCUACCAAGGCGACGACGGGUAGCCGGCCUGAGAGGGCGACCGGCCACACUGGGACUGAGAUACGGCCCAGACUCCUACGGGAGGCAGCAGUGGGGAAUCUUGCGCAAUGGGCGAAAGCCUGACGCAGCGACGCCGCGUGAGGGAUGACGG